Long non-coding RNA from Cynara cardunculus var. scolymus (artichoke), 2105 nucleotides. RefSeq lists it as uncharacterized. NCBI's taxonomy places the organism in Eukaryota, Viridiplantae, Streptophyta, Magnoliopsida, Asterales, Asteraceae. The record is from RefSeq and is a predicted model, not a curated record. The transcript is spliced from 3 exons.
AAAGCGUUCUGAUUUCAUCAUCCUACUGUGAAUGUGAAAAAUGAUCUUGGAGGGUGUGUAAUGCUUACUCCCAAACCUUUUGUUUUCUGAUUCCAUGGCUACUGCUAAAGUGCUUUCUUUAGAAAAUGCUUUCUGAUUUCAUCAUUCAAUGCUUUCUUUACAUCUGCUUUCUUAUUUUGAUUUAUGCUUUCAUCAUCCUUUCUAAGUUCCAUGCGAGUUCCAUGCUUACUGUUUGUUUUCAUGUCGUCUGAGUUUCAUGCCUACUGUUUGUUUUCUAAUUUUAUAAUCCUUUGAAUUUGAGUAUAGGAUGUUACUGUGAAUUUUGACUAUUGCUUGUUUUGUCAAUUUUGUAGUGAUGGAUUGGAAUCACUUGGUUAUACCCAUUAACUGCUGGAAUAUUUACAUUCAAAUGCUUGUGUAUUUGAUUUUCCUUACGAUUUGGUUAAUAUAAUUGGAGAAUAUAAAUAAUGAAAGAGAAACUUUGGACCAAAGAACAUUCACUAGACUUCAAAUUAGAUCGACCAAAAUAUAACCUACUACAUGCGAAAGUGAUGUAAAUUGUAUAAAUGAAUUGUGAAUGGAUAGAAAUGCUUUUGCAAUUUUGAAUGAUUUGCUUAAAACCUAUGGUGGAUUAUUAUAUGAUGGUAAAUGACAAUCGAGGAAUAAGUUGCUAUAUUUAUAAACAUAUUAGCACACCACACCAAGAAUAGAACUAUUACGUUGCCGGGGUAAACAAUAAGUCGACAUGUUCAUCGAGUGUUGCGUGCUAUAUUGCAUAUGGAAGAUGUGUUGCUUGUCAAACCAACUCCUAUAGAAGAUGAUUGUACGGAUUCACGAUGCAAAUGGCUUAAGGUAAUUAUUGCAACACUAUUUGUACAAUACAAAAUAUAAUGUCAAGAUGAUUGUACGGAUUCACGAUGCAAAUGGCUUAAGGUAAUUAUUGCAACACUAUUUAUACAAUACAUAAUAUAACAUCCAUCUUUUAGCUAAAACCUAUUUACUUUUUGUGCAUAGGGUUGUCUACGAGCAAUGAAUGGAACUUAUGUUGAAGUAAUUAUACCAAUAAACCAAGGUAUCGAACAAGAAAGGGACAUAUUGCAACCAAUGAAUUAGAAAAUGGCAAACUGUUGUGGGUGGACAACGGAUGAGGAAAAAAUGUUGAUCACAAUUCUUCAAGACAUUAUAAUCAAUGGUGGUAGAGGUGACAAUGGAAGUUUUAGGUCAAUACGUAUGAGACUGUUAUCUCAAAGAUGCAGGAAACAAUUCCCAGUAUUAGCAUAACGUCGAAGCACAUACAAAACAAAAUGAAGCGUCUAAAAGAUAAAUAUUCCGAUGCUUAUGACAUGCUAAAUACGAGCGGAUUUGGGUGGAAUGACACAAAUCAAUGUGUGACUGUUGAAGCUCCCUAGAUUUCGGAGGAGUAUUUAAAAAAACAUCCCAACAAGAUCUACACGGCUAAUAAGCCAUUCCCAAUAUACGAGCAGUUUAAGUUGGUGUUCUGGAAAGAUUGUGCAAAGGGAAACAUGACCGAAUCUGCUACAGACGCAUUAGAAAAUAUGGACAUGGAAAAUGAUGAUGAUUUUGCGACUGAAGUCAAUGUUCCCCCCCAUCCCAAGUCCAUCCAAUACAACUUCCCGUUCCUCCAUUCCAAAUGAAGGAGAAGGAACAAGCAAAAAGAGAAAAAGGAUAACCGAUCUAUCCAAGCUAGUGGAAGAAACGUAGAAUGAAAUCCACGAAGCAACCAAUCAAAUGAAAAAGUUGGUUUCAGUGAUCUCAGGUUCUACAACCAAAAUGGAUAGCUUGAGCAAUGAGUUGAAGAGACUUGAACUUGGUGCUAUGGAAAUCAUUUGAAUGGGUAAGUACUUCGAGGAUAAACCAUCCCAAUAUUGGUUUUUGAAGAGUUUGGACGAUGAUGUGAAACUAGAAUUUGUGAAGUCAAUUUAUGAUUAGGACAAGUAAUAGUCUUAGAACAUGGUGAGAACAAUUGUUGUCUUGGAAUGUUCAAAUUUUUUUGGUACACUUCACAUAUGUUUGUAAAGACAAUUGUUGUCUUUGAAUGUUUAAACUUUUGAUGAUGCUAUGACACAUGUUAUUUACGAUUGUUG